RNAcentral lists this ribosomal RNA (411 nucleotides) under uncultured bacterium. Its description in RNAcentral is "bacterial SSU rRNA". It matches the Rfam family "Archaeal small subunit ribosomal RNA", at positions 335 to 747 of the family's 1478-position model. The record is from RNAcentral.
GCAGUCGCGAAAACUCCACAAUGUGCGAAAGCAUGAUGGGGGUAGUCUGAGUGAUAGGUUUUUAACUUAUCUUUUGCCAAGUUUAGCAAGCUUGGAGAAUAAGUGCUGGGUAAGACGGGUGGCAGCCGCCACGGUAAUACCCGCGGCACAAGUGGUGUUCACUAUUAUUGGGCUUAAAGCGUCCGUAGCUGGCUAAAAAAGUCUUAUGUGAAAUAUAGGUGCUCAACAUCUAUACGUGCAUAAGAUACUUUUUGGCUAGGGAGUGGGAGAGGUCAAGAGUACUUAUGGGGUAGGGGUUAAAUCCUGUAAUCCUAUAAGGACUACCUGUGGCGAAGGCGCUUGACCAGAACACAUCCGACAGUGAGUGACGAAGGCUAGGAGAACGAAUCGGAUUAGAUACCCCCGUAGUCC